This is a long non-coding RNA of Dunckerocampus dactyliophorus (ringed pipefish), 3696 nucleotides long. RefSeq lists it as uncharacterized. The transcript is spliced from 3 exons. Lineage: Eukaryota; Metazoa; Chordata; Actinopteri; Syngnathiformes; Syngnathidae. The record is from RefSeq and is a predicted model, not a curated record.
GGGACUUGUAGGCCGGGCGGGACGGCGCGGUGUACUGGAAGAAGGUGGGCGUGUCCGGGGUGACGUCUCGCCGCACGCUGGGGUCUCUGAUGACGUUGAGGUUGCGCAGGGCGACCAUGUCGAAGGCCUCCGUGUCCUCCUCGCCGCCGCCCUCGUCGUCGUAGCGGACGAUGUUCUCUCGGAUGUCUCGCUCCUCCUCCAGGAUGAGGGGCACCUUCCUCCUGCGACGCAUGGUCACGAUCAACAGGACCAUCACUGCGGAGACACACGACAUGAUGGACUCAAUAUCCAGUGACAAAUGACGGCGUUCAGCACCAUCGAGUGUUGACAGCGCCAUUAAGAGCCUCUGGGACACUUUAGCGCUGAAGACGUCCGACGCUUACAACAAUUAGCAAACCCCUGAUAUUAGCUAAGUGUGCUAGAAAAAGCCUCCCUGGACAACGUGAGGACUCAUUUGUCCACUUAGAUGGCUGUGCUGCUGACAGGACAUAGAUUACACGUCACAGUGUGUAUACAGUUACACAAUAGAGACACUUAUAGGACAUACAGUCCAACAGCACCCUUUCAAUCGUUGCAGACGUAGCGACAACAUUACUCUAAAUGUCAAACACCCCUCUUUGGAAUAAUUGUUGGAUGACUAAAAAUACAGAAACUUGAUCAUUUACCGUGUCACAAAAGACUAAAAAGGGCCACACUGGAAAAAUGAUGCAUAAUGCGAGCGUAACGAUGGAAUUGUACAAGAAAAGAGUCGUUCUAUCACGAGAAUAAAGUGGGAAUACUACGAAAACAGCAUCGUAUUUAUUUAGAAAAAGUAGUGGUUUUCCGGAAAGAAAGUGUAUUUGUUCCAAACACUUUGUAAUCUUACAAAGAAAAAGUGAAAAUGACAAAAGAGUUGACAUAUGUACAUCCUGUAUCGGUGCUGUCGUUUGCAUCACUUGACUCAUCACAGCAAUUCAAUAUGCAUGUGAUGUGUUCAUGUCAUCCGUUUGCUAACUGGUGAUGCUUGUUGCCACUCUAUUGCUCCUGUACUUGACUGUUUGCAGGGAGAGACAUUUCUUUCAUUUUCGGAAUAUUUAGGAAAAUACCGUAAAUUCCGGUGUGUGGCAUGCAUGAGUCUGAGGACCAGUCAGCUCUUUGACAGGAGCCAAUCAUGAGCUAUGAAAAAACCUCACGAACCCAUUGGAAAUACAGGAGUUUAUAACAGUCUGACUCACGGUUUCAUCUUACAAACAAACUCAUCACACAGCAAGUUCACACUCAAACGUUAUACCUCAGAAAUAUACAAACAUGUACCAAUAUAAGUUUAAAAAGAAAAAAAACAUUUCAAAGUUUUCCCAUGAUGCAUUUCAUUUGAGAAAACUAAUUGGAGGAGCAUAGAAAGGAUAGAAAAUGGUAGAUAGUUCUGCAAUGCUGCCUCUGUCCACCAGAGAGAGCCAGAGGACCCGCAGCCAAAAGCUCAGAGGGAGGCUGAAAUCAUUGCAGUGUCCCAAUGAAUGCGUUGCUCAGACGCAAUGCCUUAUGAGAAAACUUUACGUUUUUUUUUUUCUCCCCCAUCAUAUUAGGACAUGUUUGUAUAUUUGCCGAGUACACCUUUUGAGUAUUAAGUUGCUGUGUGACGAAUUUAGUGUUAAAGUGUUCUUUGAAAGAUGACACUGAGUCAGAAUGUUAUGUUGUUACAUGCGGAUAAUGACCCCUGCGAUUUCCAGUGGGUUGACAAGCUCGUUGUGAGUGCACUGAUAGCUCGUGAUUGGCUCCUGCCAAAGAAAGAGCUACCGUUUCCUCACUGACUUGCGAGCGGCACACUAAACAAUUAGUGGAAGUUCUGAAGUAAAGGAGAUGUCACGGGAUUAGAAUUUAGCCGCACUCCUGUAUAAGCCGCAGGGUUCAAAGUUUAAGAAAAAAUGUAGUGGCUUAAAAACUGGAAUUUACGGUACAUGCUGUGAUAUCUUUAUGAACGACUCUUAUGAAUUGUCCAUCUGUGAACAGCUUCCUCCUCCUUACGCUCUCCAGUGCAGCGAGUCAGCUACAAGACUAGCAGCCGUCGUUGGGUUUGGAGCCUUCAUCCACUUCAUGAAAGUAUGUUUGCUCUGCUCAACCUUCCGUAGUAGUUCCGAAAUCGCUCCCUUACGCCCAUCUGCAGUUGGGUACUUUUCAGAAAAAGUUGGAUACAUUUUCCAUAUCAAGCACACGAGUGGGUGAGCCAGCGUCAUUAGCAGUGAAGACAAAGGAAUAUGUCCAUUCAGAAUUAAACUCUUUUGUCCAACAUUUUUGGAGUUUACCGCCGUGGUAGCACACUCUUAACACGUCUUUUUCGUGUGGCCCUCCUCCCCCUGUCCCUUGCUCAUCCAAUCAGCAGUCUAGAUGCAUUCAAGGGCUUGCGGUGAGUCAGGUAUUUCAUGCUCUUUUUGAAAAUGCACAUUUCCUCCACUUUGGUGCUAAAAAACCUCCACAGAGUUUGGCGUGGGAGCCGCAACAAGGGGGCUGAAGAGCCGCAUAUGGCUCUGGAGCCACGCGUUGCCAACCACGAGUGGCACCUCUGCCACUUUGCCAGUCGACCAUUGAGAAGUCCACCAUACACGCAUUUGUAGAACCUCUGAGAAGAAACCAUGGCCGUCUGUGUCUCAUACAGCCUUGCUGAAAAUAACUCCACGCCCAAGCAAACUGGCAAACGUCUAAUGAUCCUCCAUCCAUCAACGUCAGCCUGCUUCCAGUGAAAUAUCGCUCCGUGGGCGCCACAUUUCUUUUCUAGGACCGAGCUGCGGAAAGGAAGAAGCUUCCAGCCCACUUCAGAGUCGCUAAUAAGGCGGCAAAUGGAAGAAGCGGACACUGCAGGAGAUGAAUGGACAUCACCGUGAAGGUGGACGGAAGGUACUCAACAACACUCAACGCGCAGAAUGAUCAUCUCUGCUGAUGAGUUCAGGGAACUCAUUGUCAUUUCUGAUUGAUUCCUGCAAAGUGAAUCACAAAGUGACUGGAAGAAGCUUUCCAGGCAACUUCUUUAAGCUGUAAUGCCUGCCAGGCAGCCUGGAAAUAAGCCAGUGUUCAGUCACUCACGACGGGCGAGGAUGAGCUAGUGGACCAACGACUGGUUUGAGUGCGGGUUGCACUCAAUAAAGUGACUUUCUUUUCCUAAUUGAGCAGUUUCAGCGAUCCACUUUGCACAAUCAAUGGUGAACAAGUGCUGCUGUGUGGUGGCCUUCAGAGAGGUAAGAAACAGGAUUACAAGGACUGACAUCAAGAGUGGACCAAACCAGAAACACAGCUCGUCUCUUCCUACGGCAAACUGAUGAAAGAUGUCAAAAACGCAGAACUGCUGAGCAUUCAUCUGCCUGUCUCGUUGGCCUUGGUCUGCCUGAUAAAGAACAUAAAGUGACGCUCUGACCUCAUCACAGAACUCAUUUCACUGAUUGUAUAAGCCGCUGAGAUCCUUCUCAUGUCCCCAGAAGGAGCUCAUCCGAGAGCUAAAUAGCGACUUUUUGGCCUUUUGUCUGCGUCUUUAAUGUGCCGCCAGGUGACACCUUGCGGGUUAACCACUUCUCAUUUACAAGCGUGCCGCUGAACACAAGGGGGAGGGAGCGAUCGCUCCCUUUUGGGAACCUACCCGCCUCGAUAAACAAGGGAACACUGUAUUUACAUUCUGUUCAGCUUGCAUGUCACAAAAUUCAGUUUUUGAGCAAAAUUUGUAUGUUUUCCUUU